RNAcentral lists this long non-coding RNA (2341 nucleotides) under Mus musculus (house mouse). RNAcentral describes it as "Pvt1 oncogene". The stretch from base 67 to 223 matches the Rfam family "Pvt1 oncogene conserved region 1". The record is from RNAcentral. Lineage: Eukaryota; Metazoa; Chordata; Mammalia; Rodentia; Muridae.
GAGCCGCCGUGACGUCACGGGCCACCCGCCAGCCCCGCGCUCUACCAGGCAGAGCGCGUGUGGCCGCCGAGCACAUGGACCCACUGGUCAAGCGGGCUCGGCAAGGCCAGGAUGAAGAGAAGCUACGAACUUAGCAUUCCCAGAGCCCCCCGAGUGGAUAUCCGCGUGGAAAGGAUGUUGGCAGCCCCGGUGACCUCGGAGUCACGGCUGGAUCCACCCUCUUAGAGCCGAGUUCUGUCACCACAGACAUUGGCAGUGGCACUUGCAUGCCCCUGGCAAGCAGUCUAUCCUGAGGUGGAGGAAGUUGCCCUUGAGUUCUGGCUGGUAACCAGCACAGUAUACCCUUUAAGCGUUCCAGAAGGAUUUUGAGAUCCUUUCCUAAAUCAAAGGUGGAAUAUUUGGGGAUUUGGAAAAUUGAGAUGUGAAGCGUUGACUUAAGAGAUGCCAAGUAACUCAGCAGAUGUCACACAGACGAUAAAUAGCAAAGAUGGAAGUCUUCAUGCCGGAGGCAAUCCUAUAAGACAGCUGAGUUCUGCAGAGCUGGUAGGAGACAGACUUGCUCAGGUGAUAGAUCCAGCCAUGAUACUGACCCUAAGAGAAUGAGACGCUCUGCAGAAGACAGAAGAUUCCUGAAACUGGGAAAGGUGCCUAGAAAUCCUGAUAAGAGUGAAGAAGGCUCGGCUCUCCAGUGUGGUUUUCCAACAGGAGUCAAAUAUUAAAGGACAUGAGCGUGUUGGGGAAAAAGAUGGAUAGUGCUAAACAGCCUGAGUUCAUCCUCACUAUCCUCUUCAUAAGGAGAGCAAGAACAACCCCGGAAAUGGCUCAUGCUUAAGGUUUCUAACCACGGUCACACCUACAACACACUGAUUGACAAUAUAGGUUACAGUACACAUGGCUCUGCUAUUUGCUUUUUGGUCACUUUGAUAUUCCCUGGUACCUGGGAAGAAGGAAUCUCCGUUGAGGAGUUGCCUACAUUUGAUUAGCCCGUAGGCAUGUCUCUGAGGCCUUUUCAUAGUUGCUAAUUGAUGGAGGACAGCUUAGCCCACUGUGGGUGGUGCCAUCUCCUGGACAUGGGGUCCUGGCUUAUAUCAGAAGGGAAGCUAAGCAUGCGCCUGGGAGCAAGCCAGUAAGUAGGUCUCCUCCAUGGUCCCUGUCUCUGCUCCUGCCCUUAAUUUCCUCAGCGAAUGACUGAUGCAAACAUGUAAGCCAAACAAACCCUUCUUUCCUCUCUGUUACUGUUGGUCGUGGUGUUUAUCACAGCAAUAGGAAAAAACACUAGGGCAGUGACGUAUAAGAGUGCACUGUGCCAUUGUGAGGAUUCAAUAUCCUUAGCGAUCUUCAGAAAAAGUUUACUAUGGUGCCUGGAGCAUUGUUAUUUGCAGAGAUCCCUAGUGGCUCCUGGGCCUCAGUUUCCCUGUCUUCAUUCUGUCUGUAUUAUAUAAGCAUGGUGUCCAUAGCUCUAGCUCUUGCUUAAUGAUUCAACUGAGUAGGUACAACCAUGCUGACCAGCCAUGACAUGUCCUGCCUGGCCAUAGCCUGGAGUUGGACACAGAAACAGGGGCAUAGCUGCCUACUGUGUGUGGCACAGUGUGUGUCAAACUCCUGGAGGCAGCCAGGCAGCCAUCUCUAUAUUCUUCCUAUCAGAAUUCCUUUCACAGGUCCAAGCCAUCUUAAGAUGGAUAAAGGCCUGGCCUUCAGGCAAGGCUAUGCCUGUCAGUUCCGAAUCUCCAGCUAAGUGGACUUGCAGCCCUCCCUGUCCUCUGGAUGUCUGCAUCAUUCAUACAAGGGACACGUUCUCUUUAGAGAAGAGCGUCUUCUGGGCUUCUCCCAGGUUGGAAGUGUCCUCUACUUCUUUCUUCCUGGCAAAAGCACUGGCCUAAGCAGCUCAGGAACAACCUACAAUAGAGGGAGGGCCUCUUACCUCGGAUGGAAGUGGAAACAUAGUCUCCACGUUGGAACUGAGUCUUGGUUAUGCUCUGAGAAGUAGCCUGGAUUUCUAAGAUCUCAUGCUCAUCGUUUUCUCUGGAGGCCCAACUCUGUUCUCAUGAGCCCUGGCACGUUCCCUACCAGCAUCUUUGUUUCCUAUCUGAGGAGUGCGGAUGAUGCUUCUCCUGGUAAGGGGUAUGAAUAGAAUUCCUGCCUGUGUUCUAUGUGCUGAAUCCCAGAGCCUAGAGUAGGGCCUGGGCUCUGGCGAUUGACUGGUAAACACUUGUUUUGGAAGAGAUAGUAGAGUCUUUGGAGUUCCUGGCACAAUCUUCUUGGAUAGUUGCCUGUGCCCGUUCUAAACCAGGAUCUGACUAAUUACAACUCCUCCUGCUUGCAUUAAAGUUUUAUUGGAACA